AUCACUCUUAAAUAAUAGAGUAUCGCAAUUUGAUUGCGGAAGCCCGAUUUACCGGUCUUUUAGAGCUUAUAGCGAUUUAAAGAAACUGAUAAUUUGAUUUGGUUUCCUGCCAAAAAUCCUGCCAAAAAAUCUUUGGCAGGAUUUUUGUU
Molecule: small RNA, 149 nt
Filed under: Streptococcus dysgalactiae subsp. equisimilis
Lineage: Bacteria; Bacillati; Bacillota; Bacilli; Lactobacillales; Streptococcaceae
Description: rli38
Rfam family: Listeria sRNA rli38
Source: RNAcentral